Long non-coding RNA from Venturia canescens, 1602 nucleotides. RefSeq lists it as uncharacterized. NCBI's taxonomy places the organism in Eukaryota, Metazoa, Arthropoda, Insecta, Hymenoptera, Ichneumonidae. The record is from RefSeq and is a predicted model, not a curated record. The transcript has 5 exons.
CUUCUUAUGAAGCUACUGUCAGGAUUCAUCGUCGAGAUCGAUAUUCCCAUUUUGUCUACGGUUACCGCCAGAAUAACCUUUCAUGAAUUUGCAUUUGGAAAUGACAAAUUUGAAACUCUUACAAGUGCUCUUGGGUUACUUUAAAGAUUCAAUCAGCCUCCGAUGAGAAGAGUUUCCACAAAUCCUUCCCUUGAUACUCAGAUAUCAGGAAGUAUGUCUGGAAGCUCAGGCAGGAGAAAGUCCAUUCUUAGGUCAAAAUCUUGUAUACAAGGAAAGUAGUGAAUCUAUCAAAGCGACAGUAGCGAUGUAUAUGGAUUUUUCAUUGACCGUGGACAUGCUUCUAAAUGUUUUGGAAGUGACCGCACUGUUCAAACACUUCAGUAAACUUAGACAUCUUAUGAAGCUACUGCCAGGAUUCACCGUCGAGAUCGAUAUUCCUAUUUUGUCUACCACCAGAAUAACCUUUCAAGAAUUUGCAUUUGGAAAUGACAAAUUCGAAACUCUUGGAUUACCUUAAAGAUUCAAUCAUUUUUGGAGACUGGGAGUUGCCAGGUGAGGGAGAGCAAGAAACACCGAUUCAAAAAUCUGAGACUUUUUGCAGUUUGAGCUGAAAGAUCGUUUCGAAGAAAUUAAUAGACUCAAAGAAAAAGCGAACGAUGAGGCAGAACAAAAAAGUAUGGCAGAAAUUCUGUCCCAGGUCGAGAUAAUGGGGAAAAAAUUGAAUUUCCUGAAAUUGCAAGAAACCUUAGCAGCAAUCUGGUCGCGACUUUCGCUGAUCCUCAAGGUGCCAGCUUAAAACAAUUGACGUUGCAGAUUCAGCUAUUCAAACAAACGGGUUCGACUAAAGUUGGAGAGGAAAAAACGGCAUUUACUGAAGUGGAUAAAAUUCGCAAACGAAGUCUGGAGUAUUAAAAACGCAUAACUUGGAAAAUUGUCUCAAACUAUGAAGACCCAGGAAAUCGUCGAGGUGGUUCAGCAAUUGAGCGCAAAAUCGGCUUUACUCAACAGCAUUCAGAUCAUAGCAAUGGCGAGUAGCCUCUCGAUGCUUCUUCAUCGAAUGAACAAAUUAGCACAGAAAAAAUCGGCCGCUCAACAGGACACAGAAAGAGAACGAAAAAUUGAGAUGUACGAAAUCAUGAAAAAAAAACGAAGCUUCCUCGAUCAUUGUACCUCAAACGGUCAAUCGCAUGUUGGCUCUUAGCUCUUUCCAUCAGCAAGAGCUCCUACUACAAACCGACAUAACCAAUGGACUGGACAGCAACAAAGACUUGCUUAAAGGAAUUUAAGAAAGUUUUGCCUCGAAUUUGGAAUCAAUACGCAACAAUAUAGCAUAUUUGGAUAAGAGAAUAAAACAAUUGAACAAACGAUCAUUUGCACUAAUACUUUUGAGUUAGAGUAAUUUAAGAAACGCAUUUUGAUUUGUCAUUAAUAAAACAAAAAUUGUCGGCUUAUUAUUUAUGAUGCUUUUUUUAUGUUGAGGUGUUAAUAAAUAUUGAUGAAAACUUAAAAUAAAUGGUAGUCACGUCGUCGUUUUUUUUUAAAUGUUUAUUUUUUGUCGCCUAGAAACGGAGUUUCUAGAAGAGCCAUUUGUUCUUGCUAGAU